UACGUAGGGUCCGAGCGUUUGUCCGGAAUUACUGGGCGUAAAGAGCUCGUAGGUGGUUUGUCGCGUUGUUCGUGAAAACUCACAGCUCAACUGUGGGCGUGCGGGCGAUACGGGCAGACUAGAGUACUGCAGGGGAGACUGGAAUUCCUGGUGUAGCGGUGGAAUGCGCAGAUAUCGGGAAGAACACCCGUGGCGAAGGCGGCACUCUGGGACGGUACUGACGCUGAGACGCGAAAGCGUGGGAGCGAACGAGG
RNAcentral lists this ribosomal RNA (254 nucleotides) under uncultured bacterium. RNAcentral describes it as "partial 16S ribosomal RNA". It matches the Rfam family "Bacterial small subunit ribosomal RNA", at positions 524 to 777 of the family's 1533-position model. The record is from RNAcentral.